CCCGCUGAACUUAAGCAUAUCAAUAAGCGGAGGAAAAGAAACUAACAAGGAUUCCCCUAGUAACUGCGAGUGAAGCGGGAAAAGCUCAAAUUUAAAAUCUGGUGGUCUUUGGCCAUCCGAGUUGUAAUUUAGAGAAGCGUUUUCCGUGUUGGACCGUGUAUAAGUCUCUUGGAACAGGGCGUCAUAGAGGGUGAGAAUCCCGUCUUUGACACGGACUACCAAUGCUUUGUGAUGCGCUCUCAAAGAGUCGAGUUGUUUGGGAAUGCAGCUCAAAAUGGGUGGUAAAUUCCAUCUAAAGCUAAAUAUAGGCGAGAGACCGAUAGCGAACAAGUACCGUGAGGGAAAGAUGAAAAGCACUUUGGAAAGAGAGUUAAACAGUACGUGAAAUUGCUGAAAGGGAAACGCUUGAAGUCAGUCACGUCUGCCAGGACUCAGCCUUGCUUCUGCUUGGUGUACUUUCUGGUUUGAUGGGCCAACAUCAAUUUUGACCGUUGGAGAAAGGCUUUGGGAAUGUGGCACCUUCGGGUGUGUUAUAGCCCUUUGUUGUAUGCAACGGUUGGGAUUGAGGACUGCAGCACGCCUUUAUGGCCGGGGUUCGCCCACGUACGUGCUUGGGAUGUUGGCAUAAUGGCUUUAAGCGACCCGUCUUGAAACACGG
This 658-nucleotide ribosomal RNA is filed under the name uncultured fungus. RNAcentral's name for it is "eukaryotic LSU rRNA". It matches the Rfam family "Eukaryotic large subunit ribosomal RNA", at positions 24 to 664 of the family's 3401-position model. The record is from RNAcentral. Lineage: Eukaryota; Fungi.